This 324-nucleotide ribosomal RNA is filed under the name Triticum aestivum (bread wheat). RNAcentral's name for it is "partial small subunit ribosomal RNA". The record is from RNAcentral. Lineage: Eukaryota; Viridiplantae; Streptophyta; Magnoliopsida; Poales; Poaceae.
AUGCGAUUAUUUUUUUUUGCUCCAGUUGCAUCUGAUCUACAGGUCAUUUCUGCAAUCCUUGAGCUGUUUGGCGAGGCCUCCGGGCUUAGAAUCAACUUUGAGAAAAGCUCCGUCAUGGGCAUCCGGUGUGGGGAAGAGCAGGCCAUGGAGGUCGCGGCUUUCUUUAACUGUCGACACAUCCAGUUUCCCCUGAAGUACCUGGGUCUUCCGCUCUCAAUCUUCAAAUUGAGGAGACAAGACAUUCUGCCCCUGAUUGACAAGUUCUCCAGCAAGUUGAAAGGGUGGAAACCCAAACUGUUGGCGCCAGCAGGCAGAGUGACACUG